This 773-nucleotide ribosomal RNA is filed under the name uncultured Ambispora. RNAcentral's name for it is "SSU rRNA". It matches the Rfam family "Eukaryotic small subunit ribosomal RNA", at positions 338 to 1114 of the family's 1831-position model. Lineage: Eukaryota; Fungi; Glomeromycota; Glomeromycetes; Archaeosporales; Ambisporaceae. The record is from RNAcentral.
GGCCUACCAUGGUUUUAACGGGUAACGGGGAAUUAGGGUUCGAUUCCGGAGAGGGAGCCUGAGAAACGGCUACCACAUCCAAGGAAGGCAGCAGGCGCGCAAAUUACCCAAUCCCGACACGGGGAGGUAGUGACAAUAAAUAACAAUACAGGGCCCUCACGGGUCUUGUAAUUGGAAUGAGUACAAUUUAAAUCUCUUAACGAGGAACAAUUGGAGGGCAAGUCUGGUGCCAGCAGCCGCGGUAAUUCCAGCUCCAAUAGCGUAUAUUAAAGUUGUUGCAGUUAAAAAGCUCGUAGUUGAAUUUUGGGUCUGGCCGGGCGGUCCACCUUCCGGUGAGCACUGUUCCGAUGCCGGGCCUAUCCUUCUGGUGAGACGGCAUGCCCUUCGCUGGGUGUGUCGGGGAACCAGGACCAUUACCUUGAAAAAAUUAGAGUGUUCAAAGCAGGCAUUUGCUCGAAUACAUUAGCAUGGAAUAAUGAAAUAGGACGCGUGGUACUAUUUUGUUGGUUUCUAGGACCGCCGUAAUGAUUAAUAGGGAUAGUUGGGGGCAUUAGUAUUCAAUUGUCAGAGGUGAAAUUCUUGGAUUUAUUGAAGACUAACUUCUGCGAAAGCAUUUGCCAAGGAUGUUUUCAUUAAUCAAGAACGAAAGUUAGGGGAUCGAAGACGAUCAGAUACCGUCGUAGUCUUACCAUAAACUAUGCCGACUAGGAAUCGGGCGAUGUUAUUUUAACGACUCGCCCGGCGCCUUAUGGGAAACCAAAGUGUUUGGGUUC